Molecule: long non-coding RNA, 413 nt
Filed under: Nicotiana tabacum (common tobacco)
Lineage: Eukaryota; Viridiplantae; Streptophyta; Magnoliopsida; Solanales; Solanaceae
Description: long non-coding RNA (NTAB_LNC011988)
Source: RNAcentral
AAUCAUUAAAGCUGAAACAAGCACACUUCCAACAGAUGUCAAGAAAAUCACAACCACAGUUGAAAGAAUAAGCAGACCCAGCGUCUCCCUCUCAGAAAACUGCCGUCCAUAUAUAACCAAAGGCGGAUCCGAAGGCCGGAAAAGGUAAAGGAAAAGCCAAGCGGCGAGGAGGCCGGAAAGGACAAGAAGGGAAAAAGGGUUUGUAAUGAGUGAAAAUGCAAGAACAACGGCAAGGGCAGAGAGGUAAUUGAUACGGAAGUAGGUGUAGUUUUUGCGCAUACGGAGAGUGGCGUCAGAGAACGAUUCCGGUUUGGAGAAAGCGGACCGGUCGAGGAGCUCGGACCAGGGACGGCGGUUGGAGAAACCGGUUUGGACGGUGGUGGAGAUGUGGUUGAUGAAUGAACGGAAUGCUG